UAGUCAAUGCUCGCAAGAGUGAACUAGCUAACUGAAAUCAUAGAGUUUCUUUAAACUCAUGAUGUCGUAAGGGAAAAUAAUGAUAAUACCUUACUAAUAGUGUCGUCCAAAUCUGGUGCCAGAAGACUCGGUAAGACCAGAGACGCAAACGUUAAUCAUCAUAAUCAGGCGUAAAGGGUUUGUAGGCUGCUUUCAGCCAACUAUGUAUAAUACAAAUAAAAUAGUUUAAUUGAAAGCUAGAAUCAAAAAGAGGUUAUAGUGUAUAACGUCUAGAGGAGGGCUAAUAUCUUUAGAUCCUAGACAGAAUACUAAAGGCGAAGGCAACUUUCCACUAAUGAUUGACGCUGAGAAACGAAGGUUAGGGUAAGAAAUAGGAUUAGAUACCCCGGUACUCCUUUCUGUAAACGAUGAAUGGUAGUCCUUAGUAUCUAUUUAUACUAGGAACGAAGUUAACACAAUAACCAUUCCGCCUUGUGAGUACUACUGCAAAGUAGAAAACAAAAAAAUUAGUCGGUCUCGAAGCAAACGGAGUGAAGCAUGUUAUUUAAU
RNAcentral lists this ribosomal RNA (549 nucleotides) under Picipes auriculatus. RNAcentral describes it as "SSU rRNA". It matches the Rfam family "Bacterial small subunit ribosomal RNA", at positions 365 to 950 of the family's 1533-position model. The record is from RNAcentral. Lineage: Eukaryota; Fungi; Basidiomycota; Agaricomycetes; Polyporales; Polyporaceae.